CGCUUCGCACGUCCCCGCCGUCGCGCUCGCCUCCCUCCUCUUUGUUGCCUCCGCGUCGACCUCCACCCCGCUCUCCGACGCGCUUACCGUCGUCUCGGAUUUCUGGUGCACUCUCUUCUCUACGACGCGAGCAAGGGCGGCGCUUGCCAUGGCAUCGACGGGAACCAGGAGGGGAGCUGUUUGAGCGGAUGCCCACCAGGAACAAUGUUUCCUAGAUCACGAUGUUUGGGCCACUUUUGGAAGAGGUCAGGGAUGACAUGUUUUCAAGCUUGGAGGACAUCACCAACGCACCAUAUGCAGAUCUGCUCUCUAUUAAUUCAAUGAGGAAAGGAAAGGGGUCAUAGAAAUUAGUCUUGGCAGAUGGAGGGGAACGUCUCAAUGACUGAGGCACAUUUUUUCUUGUUAGUUAGCUCAUGGAUUUUUAUGGUCCAAGAGGAGUUGCUGCUAUAUGAAUAUGACAACACCCAUUAAUCAACAUAACUAUAUGAAUACAAUCUGAAAGGAAGGUCGGUUUGGUCAGAAACACAUGGAGGUACUGAUGGAGGCUAUGAAACAUAUAAGAGACAUGCCAGUGAGGAGCAGGAGUAGUUUAGUCGGUUCUUGCUUUAUGAAGUGGAUGCAAUUAGAAAGACGUACGAGCAGGCCAACAUCUCGCGGUGGCUCGCCCUGGGCAACCGGACCUGCCCGACCACGAUGCAGGAGCUCUGGGACGACGCCCUCACCCCCAACGCCACUCUCUGACAGCUCAUCGUCACCUGGUUCUCCCGCCUGGUUCUGCAUUUUGUUUUCUUAUCUGUCAAUCAUGUUUUUCCAUAUUACUGCAGGCGGGUCUGAUUAAUUAUUUAAAUGUAGUUUAUCUUAGAUACUGUUUGAACGUAUGGGAUGUUGGAGGACAGAAGACAAUCAUGUCUUACUGGAGAAAAUUCUUUGAGCAGACUAAUGGGUUAGUUUGGUUUGCUGAUAGUUCACACAUAAGGAGGCUUGAUGAUUGCCGUGCUGAACUCCACAAUCUCUUGAAAGAAGAGAGACUAGUUGGAGCUUCAUUGUUGAUUUUUGCAAAUAAGCAAGACAUGCAAGGAGCUCUAAAACCAACUGGAAUCGCGAAGAGUCACUCUCCGACAGCUCAUCGCCGCUUGGUUCUCCCGCCGGUACACAAGGUUUAAGAAGCGCUCCGCGGACUUCCACGGCCGCGCUGCCGAUCUCGUCCACAGCCUCCGGGGCACGGCGAUGCCCAGGAGACAGGCCCUCGAGGAAGAGCAAUGUAGAGAAGAGAAAGGUAUCUCGACUGUUCCAAAGCACAAGUAUGCAUCCAAAGCCUGUUCCCCAAAAGUUUUGAAGACUUAAACAAUAUGCUGCAUGAAAAUCUUUACUUUAUUCACAACACACCUGAGAUGGACUGGGCUUGGGCAGCUAACCGGUUAAUUGAGAAGGAUGAGGCAUAAACUCCAGACGAUGCUCCUUUAAAUUAUUUGCCGCAGAAGAGGCUAAUUUUGACAAGCCAGUUGAUCCAGCAACUUCUCCCUGCUAUACCAGCGACCAUUUUGAGAGGACAAGCUGUGUCUACUUACGGAAGUGCGACAUACACUCUAUCAAUGUUGACACUAAGGGAUGCAUGCAGCAUGGUAGCAUCAUUAUCAUCAUCAUAUAACUCUUGCUCACCUGUGGAGGAUGAAAAUAACCCAUCUGAACAAACAAGUGCUAAGAAAAUGGAAGACAGAGUAUCAAAGGUUGUGGAAGUCUUCGCUGGAAGAAUCCAGAAGAUGGAAAAUGACUUUAUAAGUUUGAACAAGAGGGCCUCGACUAAUCGGACGACUGGACGAUUAGUCGACCUAAUCGGGUCGGAUGCCCUGGUCGUUCCACUAAAACCGACUAGACCGACUAAUCGCGAUUAAUCGCGAUUAGUCGGACGACUUGAAAUCAUUGAUCAGUGAUUCCCUCACGGUUGUGUCCUUCACAAAGGAAGGAUGUGAAGCCACACUAUUAUCAAGCAACAAAGCCAAAGUUGUGUGACACAAUUAUAACAAAGGAAUCAUCACCCAUUAGCACACUAAAAUUGGCGCAUACAGAUAACGCACCUGCAAAGUGGGAUCAUUUGAACAUAGUUCAGCAAAGGGCCGACGCACUUGAGUCACUCCUCAAGCUCUACGCAAAGCUUCUGGAGGAGAGGCUCGAUGAGCUCGCCGACGUUUUUCGACCAUUUGGUGAGAGAGCUGUGUCAUCCGGAGAGAUGAGCAUACAAUGAUGUCUGACCAUAAGCCUGAUGACUCCACCGAAGUUUUGAGAGUCCCCAACAAUGCUUUUGUAGCAGCGAUUCGUUUCAACAUUUUUUUGUUUUUCAAAUACCAUUUCGAGAGUGUAAAUAACUUCAACGGAAUUCAAAAUUGAUGUACUUAGGUAGGCCUGAGCCCUGUUUAUUUUUGAUGUAUAUGGUUUGCAUGUCACCAACUGUUGUGAGCGAUGAUUGAUUAUUUAUCGUCUUGUUUUAUCUGUCUGUACUCCUUUAAUGCAGCACCUUCGUUUGUCAUGUGUCGUCUCCCCUGUAAGAUGUUGAUUAAUAUUCAUUAUAUCAUUGUUU
Molecule: RNA transcript, 2575 nt
Organism: Zea mays
Lineage: Eukaryota; Viridiplantae; Streptophyta; Magnoliopsida; Poales; Poaceae
Gene name: protein-like pseudogene
Exons: 11
Source: RefSeq, marked validated